This 497-nucleotide ribosomal RNA is filed under the name uncultured bacterium. Its description in RNAcentral is "partial 16S ribosomal RNA". It matches the Rfam family "Bacterial small subunit ribosomal RNA", at positions 28 to 507 of the family's 1533-position model. The record is from RNAcentral.
GAUGAACGCUGGCGGCGUGCCUAAUACAUGCAAGUCGAGCGAACGGACGAGAAGCUUGCUUCUCUGAUGUUAGCGGCGGACGGGUGAGUAACACGUGGAUAACCUACCUAUAAGACUGGGAUAACUUCGGGAAACCGGAGCUAAUACCGGAUAAUAUUUUGAACCGCAUGGUUCAAAAGUAAAAGACGGUCUUGCUGUCACUUAUAGAUGGAUCCGCGCUGCAUUAGCUAGUUGGUAAGGUAACGGCUUACCAAGGCAACGAUGCAUAGCCGACCUGAGAGGGUGAUCGGCCACACUGGAACUGAGACACGGUCCAGACUCCUACGGGAGGCAGCAGUAGGGAAUCUUCCGCAAUGGGCGAAAGCCUGACGGAGCAACGCCGCGUAAGUGAUGAAGGUCUUCGGAUCGUAAAACUCUGUUAUUAGGGAAGAACAUAUGUGUAAGUAACUGUGCACAUCUUGACGGUACCUAAUCAGAAAGCCACGGCUAACUACGUG